AACGAACGCUGGCGGCAGGCUUAACACAUGCAAGUCGAGCGCCCCGCAAGGGGAGCGGCAGACGGGUGAGUAACGCGUGGGAAUCUACCCAUCUCUACGGAACAACUCCGGGAAACUGGAGCUAAUACCGUAUACGCCCUUCGGGGAAAGAUUUAUCGGAGAUGGAUGAGCCCGCGUUGGAUUAGCUAGUUGGUGGGGUA
Molecule: ribosomal RNA, 200 nt
Filed under: uncultured bacterium
Lineage: Bacteria
Description: partial 16S ribosomal RNA
Rfam family: Bacterial small subunit ribosomal RNA
Source: RNAcentral